Molecule: ribosomal RNA, 301 nt
Filed under: uncultured bacterium
Lineage: Bacteria
Description: partial 16S ribosomal RNA
Rfam family: Bacterial small subunit ribosomal RNA
Source: RNAcentral
CAGUAGCCGCGGGAAUACGUAGGGUGCGAGCGUUAAUCGGAAUUACUGGGCGUAAAGCGUGCGCAGGCUGUUUUGUAAGACAGAGGUGAAAUCCCCGGGCUCAACCUGGGAACUGCCUUUGUGACUGCAAGGCUAGAGUACGGCAGAGGGGGAUGGAAUUCCGCGUGUAGCAGUGAAAUGCGUAGAUAUGCGGAGGAACACCGAUGGCGAAGGCAAUCCCCUGGGCCUGUACUGACGCUCAUGCACGAAAGCGUGGGGAGCAAACAGGAUUAGAUACCCCAGUAGUCCCUGUCUCUUAUAC